RNAcentral lists this ribosomal RNA (263 nucleotides) under uncultured bacterium. RNAcentral's name for it is "partial 16S ribosomal RNA". It matches the Rfam family "Bacterial small subunit ribosomal RNA", at positions 29 to 289 of the family's 1533-position model. The record is from RNAcentral.
AUGAACGCUGGCGGCGUGCUUAACACAUGCAAGUCGAACGAUUAAGACUUACUUCGGUAAGUGUAUAGAGUGGCGAACGGGUGAGUAACACGUGGGCAACCUGCCCCUCACACCGGGAUAACCACGGGAAGCUGUGGCUAAUACCGGAUACUCCGGCGCGAUCGCAUGGUCGUGCCGGGAAAGUCCAGGCGGUGAGGGAUGGGCCCGCGGCCCAUUAGCUCGUUGGUGAGGUAACGGCUCACCAAGGCAACGAUGGGUAGCCG